GAUGAAGAACGCAGCGAAAUGCGAUACUUGGUGUGAAUUGCAGAAUCCCGCGAAUCAUCGAGUUUUUGAACGCAAGUUGCGCCCGAAGCCAUUCGGCCGAGGGCACGUCUGCCUGGGUGUCACGCAUCGUUGCCCCCCCAAACUCCGGUUCGGGCGGGGCGGAAGUUGGCCUCCCGUGUGUGCCUGCGCGCGCGGUUAGCCCAAAAGCGAGUCCUCGGCGACGAGCGCCACGACAAUCGGUGGUUUUUUUACCCUCGUUCCUCGUCGUGCGUGUCCCGUCGCCCGAACGCGCUCUUGUGACCCUCACGCGUCGCCUCGGCGGCGCUCCCAACGCGACCCCAGGUCAGGCGGGACUACCCGCUGAGUUUAAGCAUAUCAAUAAGCGGAGGA
Molecule: unclassified non-coding RNA, 390 nt
Filed under: soil metagenome
Description: partial contains 5.8S ribosomal RNA, internal transcribed spacer 2, and large subunit ribosomal RNA
Rfam family: 5.8S ribosomal RNA (bases 1-122)
Source: RNAcentral